CCUACGGGGGGCAGCAGUGAGGAAUAUUGGUCAAUGGGCGGAAGCCUGAACCAGCCAAGUCGCGUGAGGGAUUAAGGCCCUGCGGGUCGUACACCUCUUUUGCCGGGGAGCAGUGGUCCGGACGCGUCCGGACCGGGAGAGUACCCGGAGAAAAAGCAUCGGCUAACUCCGUGCCAGCAGCCGCGGUAAUACGGAGGAUGCGAGCGUUAGCCGGAUUUAUUGGGUUUAAAGGGUGCGCAGGCGGAGGCACAAGUCAGCGGUAAAAUCGCGGGGCUCAACCCCGCUCCGCCGUUGAAACUGUGUCCCUUGAGUGCGCGAAGGGUAGGCGGAAUGCGUGGUGUAGCGGUGAAAUGCAUAGAUAUCACGCAGAACUCCGAUCGCGAAGGCAGCCUACCGGCGCGCAACUGACGCUCAUGCACGAAAGCGUGGGUAUCGAACAGGAUUAGAUACCCCGGUAGUC
RNAcentral lists this ribosomal RNA (460 nucleotides) under uncultured bacterium. RNAcentral's name for it is "partial 16S ribosomal RNA". It matches the Rfam family "Bacterial small subunit ribosomal RNA", at positions 338 to 795 of the family's 1533-position model. The record is from RNAcentral.